This 253-nucleotide ribosomal RNA is filed under the name uncultured bacterium. Its description in RNAcentral is "partial 16S ribosomal RNA". It matches the Rfam family "Bacterial small subunit ribosomal RNA", at positions 524 to 776 of the family's 1533-position model. The record is from RNAcentral.
UACGUAGGGUGCGAGCGUUGUCCGGAAUUAUUGGGCGUAAAGGGCUCGUAGGCGGUCCAUCGCGUCGGGAGUGAAAAGCUGGGGCUUAACCCCAGUCCUGCUUUCGAUACGGGUGGACUAGAGGUAGGCAGGGGAGAAUGGAAUUCCUGGUGUAGCGGUGAAAUGCGCAGAUAUCAGGAGGAACACCAAUGGCGAAGGCAGCUCGCUGGGACGGUACUGACGCUGAGACGCGAAAGCGUGGGGAGCAAACAGG